AUUGAACGCUGGCGGCAGGCUUAACACAUGCAAGUCGAACGAUUGGCGGACGGGUGAGUAAUGCUUGGGAAUCUCGCUUAUGGAGGGGGAUAACUACGGGAACCUGUAGCUAAUACCGCUUACCAUAGGAUGAGCCCAAGUGGGAUUAGGUAUUUGGUGAGGUAAAGGCUCACCAAGCCGACGAUCUCUAGCUGGCCUGAGAGGAUGACCAGCAAAACUGGGACGGAGACACGGCCCAGACUCCUACGGGAGGCAGCAGUGGGGAAUAUUGCAAAAUGGGCGCAAGCCUGAUGCAGCCAUGCCGCGUGUAGGAAGAAGGCCUUCGGGUUGUAAAGUACUUUCAGUCGGGAGGCGUUACCCGAAGAAGAAGCACCGGCUAACUCCGUGCCAGCAGCCGCGGUAAUAC
RNAcentral lists this ribosomal RNA (406 nucleotides) under uncultured bacterium. Its description in RNAcentral is "partial 16S ribosomal RNA". It matches the Rfam family "Bacterial small subunit ribosomal RNA", at positions 30 to 526 of the family's 1533-position model. The record is from RNAcentral.